Long non-coding RNA from Rana temporaria (common frog), 407 nucleotides. RefSeq lists it as uncharacterized. The record is from RefSeq and is a predicted model, not a curated record. The transcript has 3 exons. Lineage: Eukaryota; Metazoa; Chordata; Amphibia; Anura; Ranidae.
GUGAAUGGGCUGCGGAGGUUGAUUAGUUUGGCCUUGCAGUAUACGGAAGUGGCUUGUUGGUUUCGCUUUGUCCCGGGCGAGAACGAGCUUCCAGACAGGAGCCGAGAAACCCCACACCUCCUACCCAAGCCCCACCCCCACGGGAUGUUGAAGAAGAACAAUCGGAGGAAAGAGAAAGUGGCACCACAACAGGAGCUUUGAUGGCUGGGGACAGCUUGGAUACACACAGGGCCCAGCUGCUAAUUGGCGAGGUGAUUGCCUGCUGUGCUUACAUGGAAGACAUCAACACAAGUUUGGGGCAGAUAAGGAAAAAGCAAAAAAAGGUGGAGCAACGACUCAAAUAUGUGAUUGAUGUUCUGGGGAGGGUAUAAAAAAAUAUAUAUAUAUAUUUUAUACUUUUAAGUUUG